AUGGCGCGGGCCACUCCACUCAAUGGCGCCGCGCGCAUUCAAGAAGGAGGAAGCAUAUCCGCAGGCUCGCGGUGCGACAGUGUGGAGACCUGUCGCAAUGCGGUUCAUUCCACAGAGAAUGACGCGAGGUCGCCUUUGCGGAGGCUGGGCGAUCAGAGCCGGUAUCAUG
RNAcentral lists this non-coding RNA (169 nucleotides) under bovine gut metagenome. RNAcentral describes it as "malK-I RNA". It matches the Rfam family "malK-I RNA". The record is from RNAcentral.